This 461-nucleotide ribosomal RNA is filed under the name uncultured bacterium. Its description in RNAcentral is "partial 16S ribosomal RNA". It matches the Rfam family "Bacterial small subunit ribosomal RNA", at positions 28 to 506 of the family's 1533-position model. The record is from RNAcentral.
GACGAACGCUGGCGGCGUGCUUAACACAUGCAAGUCGAGCGGUAAGGCCUUUCGGGGUCCACGAGCGGCGAACGGGUGAGUAACACGUGGGUGAUCUGCCCUGCACUUCGGGAUAAGCCUGGGAAACUGGGUCUAAUACCGGAUAUGACCUCCUAUCGCAUGGUGGGUGGUGGAAAGAUUUAUCGGUGCAGGAUGGGCCCGCGGCCUAUCAGCUUGUUGGUGGGGUAAUGGCCUACCAAGGCGACGACGGGUAGCCGACCUGAGAGGGUGACCGGCCACACUGGGACUGAGACACAGCCCAGACUCCUACGGGAGGCAGCAGUGGGGAAUAUUGCACAAUGGGCGAAAGCCUGAUGCAGCGACGCCGCGUGAGGGAUGACGGCCUUCGGGUUGUAAACCUCUUUCAGCAGGGACGAAGCGCAAGUGACGGUACCGGCAGAAGAAGCACCGGCUAACUACGU